GGGCGCCCAGGAGGGUGAGAGCCCCGUGGGAUGCCGGCGGAAGCAGUGAGGCCCUUCUGACGAGUCGAGUUGUUUGGGAAUGCAGCUCCAAGCGGGUGGUAAAUUCCAUCUAAGGCUAAAUACUGGCGAGAGACCGAUAGCGAACAAGUACUGUGAAGGAAAGAUGAAAAGCACUUUGAAAAGAGAGUGAAACAGCACGUGAAAUUGUUGAAAGGGAAGGGUAUUGCGCCCGACAUGGGGAUUGCGCACCGCUGCCUCUCGUGGGCGGCGCUCUGGGCUUUCCCUGGGCCAGCAUCGGUUCUUGCUGCAGGAGAAGGGGUUCUGGAACGUGGCUCUUCGGAGUGUUAUAGCCAGGGCCAGAUGCUGCGUGCGGGGACCGAGGACUGCGGCCGUGUAGGUCACGGAUGCUGGCAGAACGGCGCAACACCGCCCG
Molecule: ribosomal RNA, 433 nt
Filed under: Pichia kudriavzevii
Lineage: Eukaryota; Fungi; Ascomycota; Pichiomycetes; Pichiales; Pichiaceae
Description: partial large subunit ribosomal RNA
Rfam family: Eukaryotic large subunit ribosomal RNA
Source: RNAcentral